RNAcentral lists this ribosomal RNA (422 nucleotides) under uncultured bacterium. Its description in RNAcentral is "partial 16S ribosomal RNA". It matches the Rfam family "Bacterial small subunit ribosomal RNA", at positions 360 to 774 of the family's 1533-position model. The record is from RNAcentral.
AAUCUUCCACAAUGGACGAAAGUCUGAUGGAGCAAUGCCGCGUGAGUGAAGAAGGNUUNNGGAUCNUNAAGCUCUGUUGUGAGNNNNNAACAAGUACGGAAGUAACUGUCCGUACCUUGACGGUACCUCAUUAGAAAGCCACGGCUAACUACGUGCCAUCAGCCGCGGUAAUACGUAGGUGGCAAGCGUUGUCCGGAAUUAUUGGGCGUAAAGCGCGCGCAGGCGGCCUUUUAAGUCUGAUGUGAAAGCCCACGGCUCAACCGUGGAAGGUCAUUGGAAACUGAAAGGCUUGAGUACAGAAGAGGAAAGCGGAAUUCCACGUGUAGCGGUGAAAUGCGUAGAGAUGUGGAGGAACACCAGUGGCGAAGGCGGCUUUCUGGUCUGUAACUGACGCUGAGGCGCGAAAGCGUGGGGAGCAAACA